This 140-nucleotide ribosomal RNA is filed under the name uncultured bacterium. RNAcentral describes it as "partial 16S ribosomal RNA". It matches the Rfam family "Bacterial small subunit ribosomal RNA", at positions 355 to 507 of the family's 1533-position model. The record is from RNAcentral.
UGGGGAAUAUUGCACAAUGGGCGCAAGCCUGAUGCAGCGACGCCGCGUGAGGGAUGACGGCCUUCGGGUUGUAAACCUCUUUCAGUAGGGAAGAAGCGAAAGUGACGGUACCUGCAGAAGAAGCGCCGGCUAACUACAGU